Molecule: non-coding RNA, 588 nt
Organism: Sus scrofa (pig)
Lineage: Eukaryota; Metazoa; Chordata; Mammalia; Artiodactyla; Suidae
Source: RefSeq, a predicted model, not a curated record
GAAGACUUUCUGCUCCAAAGGCUGGAAUGAGAGCGAGUUUUGUCCUGGGGGAAAUGUCUCGUGGAGCUGCUGCAGAGGGGCAAGGCAAGCGUGGAAGCCAUCGGCUUGGUUUCGGUUUUACACGUCUUGCUCAAUCGAUGGAUCCAUGUGGAGGGGAGAGUGUGCCUUGUUUAUCAGCCGCAUGUACGCAGGAUUGCAGUCUCACUGCCUGAGUCACUCUGGCUCCCACCCUGGGUUCAGAAAGUAUUUUGUAAAGGUCAAAUCGCCUCGCUCCUCCUCGUGGCUUGAGCCGGUGGUGUCGCAGCCUGAAUAACGGGGAAAGCUGAAAGUUCUGUGCCCAGAACUGGGUGCUGGGCUGCCACCCAGGAGGCGGGGACCUUCGGAGCCCUGUUUUGCAGAAACCAACAUGCUGCCCAACAGACCACUCAUUGAUUGGAAGAGAAAAGAGCACAGGGCCUUCGAACCAUGGCUUUGGAGUGGACAGGAGUAAGGAUGAUGAAUGGCCACAGCAGAGAGCACAGGACCCAGAGGCAGACGGGCCUGGGCUCCCACCGGCCGCUGCCACCUGCAGGCUGAGUGACCUUGCGC